GGAGCGGUAGUUCAGGUGGUUAGAAUACCGGCCUGUCACGCCGGGGGUCGCGGGUUCAAGUCCCGUCCGCUCCGCCA
This 77-nucleotide transfer RNA is filed under the name Arenicellales bacterium. RNAcentral's name for it is "tRNA-Asp". It matches the Rfam family "tRNA". From Rfam's summary of the family: Transfer RNA (tRNA) molecules are approximately 80 nucleotides in length. The record is from RNAcentral. Lineage: Bacteria; Pseudomonadati; Pseudomonadota; Gammaproteobacteria; Arenicellales.